GAUGAACGCUGGCGGCGUGCCUAAUACAUGCAAGUCGAGCGAACAGACGAGGAGCUUGCUCCUCUGACGUUAGCGGCGGACGGGUGAGUAACACGUGGAUAACCUACCUAUAAGACUGGGAUAACUUCGGGAAACCGGAGCUAAUACCGGAUAAUAUAUUGAACCGCAUGGUUCAAUAGUGAAAGACGGUUUUGCUGUCACUUAUAGAUGGAUCCGCGCCGCAUUAGCUAGUUGGUAAGGUAACGGCUUACCAAGGCAACGAUGCGUAGCCGACCUGAGAGGGUGAUCGGCCACACUGGAACUGAGACACGGUCCAGACUCCUACGGGAGGCAGCAGUAGGGAAUCUUCCGCAGUGGGCGAAAGCCUGACGGAGCAACGCCGCGUGAGAGAUGAAGGUCUUCGGAUCGUAAAACUCUGUUAUUAGGGAAGAACAAAUGUGUAAGUAACUAUGCACGUCUUGACGGUACCUAAUCAGAAAGCCACGGCUAACUACGUG
This 497-nucleotide ribosomal RNA is filed under the name uncultured bacterium. RNAcentral's name for it is "partial 16S ribosomal RNA". It matches the Rfam family "Bacterial small subunit ribosomal RNA", at positions 28 to 507 of the family's 1533-position model. The record is from RNAcentral.